UACGUAGGGUCCGAGCGUUGUCCGGAAUUAUUGGGCGUAAAGGGCUCGUAGGCGGUUUGUUGCGUCGGGAGUGAAAACUUACAGCUUAACUGUGAGCGUGCUUCCGAUACGGGCAGACUUGAGGUAUUCAGGGGAGAACGGAAUUCCUGGUGUAGCGGUGAAAUGCGCAGAUAUCGGGAGGAACACCAGUAGCGAAGGCGGCACUCUGGGCCGGUACUGACGCUGAGGAGCGAAAGCGUGGGGAGCGAACAGG
Molecule: ribosomal RNA, 253 nt
Filed under: uncultured bacterium
Lineage: Bacteria
Description: partial 16S ribosomal RNA
Rfam family: Bacterial small subunit ribosomal RNA
Source: RNAcentral